AUGAAUGUUAAUGUUGUUCCAUAUAGUCAAAAUAGCUCAGAGGAUUCGAAAAUCCUUUUUUCAGAACUUAAUCCUUUCCAGAUCAAAGGAACUGGAAAAAGUUUCAUACACAACAAACAUGCUGAGAACAAAGUUGAGGACUUUAAAGGGCAGAAAAAUAAUCCCCUUCCUGGUCGACCCCCUGUGCCAUUGAUGUGGAAGAAUCGAUAU
Molecule: unclassified non-coding RNA, 210 nt
Filed under: Hevea brasiliensis (rubber tree)
Lineage: Eukaryota; Viridiplantae; Streptophyta; Magnoliopsida; Malpighiales; Euphorbiaceae
Source: RNAcentral